CAAGAUAUGCCUCACACUUGAGAGUUUCUUUUGUUAAGAUACCAGAAUGUGGUACUCUGGAAUCUUUGAAAGGAAGUUCAUCAGUUGAAGCCGAAGAUCGCCAAGAAUUGAUUGAUUUGGCAUUACACAACUAUUUUGAAGUUGAUAGAUACCUAGCAAGAGGUGAUAUUUUCAACAUCUGCAUAAAUUGGAAUUGCAAUUCAGUUAUUUGCAUUCCUUGCAGCCAAAGGUCACAAAAUAGAAAUAAUAACCUCAUCUACUUCAAGGUUGUGGCUAUGGAGCCAUCCGAUGAAACCAUUCUUCGAGUGAAUCACACUAAAACAGCUUUAGUUCUUGGGGGGGCUGUUCCUUCUGCUCUUCCCCCAGAUCUGUUGAUUGAUGGAGCCAAAGGUUUUUCCCCUUUCCAAGUGGACACAGCAAAAACUUUGGCCUCCAUACUUGCACCACCUUUGUGCCCAUCAGCACUUUCUUCAAAAUUCAGAGUUUCUGUCCUACUAUAUGGUCCAGAAGGAUGUGGAAAGAGGACAGUAGUUAGAUACAUUUCCUGUCGCUUGGGCCUUCAUGUUGUGGAAUUCAGCUGUCAUAAUCUUAUGACAUCCUCUGACAGGAAUACAUCUAUUGCACUCGCUCAAGCUUUCAACACGGCUCAAAGAUAUUCACCCACAAUUCUUCUUCUACACCAUUUUGAUGUCUUCCGAAAUUUGAAUUCGCAAGAUGGUUCACCAAAUGAUCAAGUUGGUCUCACCUCAGAAGUUGCUUCAGUUCUUAGGGAAUUCACUGAACCAGGUGCUGAAGAUGAUUACAAUUACUCCAACGGAAAAUUAAAUGGUGAUCUUAUUGGAUUGGAGGGUGCUGUGAAGGACA
This 864-nucleotide unclassified non-coding RNA is filed under the name Hevea brasiliensis (rubber tree). The record is from RNAcentral. Lineage: Eukaryota; Viridiplantae; Streptophyta; Magnoliopsida; Malpighiales; Euphorbiaceae.